RNAcentral lists this ribosomal RNA (468 nucleotides) under uncultured bacterium. RNAcentral's name for it is "partial 16S ribosomal RNA". It matches the Rfam family "Bacterial small subunit ribosomal RNA", at positions 28 to 507 of the family's 1533-position model. The record is from RNAcentral.
GACGAACGCUGGCGGCGUGCUUAACACAUGCAAGUCGAACGGAAAGGCCCUGCUUUUGUGGUGUUCUCGAGUGGCGAACGGGUGAGUAACACGUGAGUAACCUGCCCUUGACUUUGGGAUAACUUCAGGAAACUGGGGCUACUACCGUAUAGGAGCUCCUGCUGCAGGGUGGGGGGGGGAAAGUUUCGGCGGUUGGGGAUGGACUCGCGGCUUAUCAGCUUGUUGGUUGGGUAGUGGCUUACCAAGGCUUUGACGGGUAGCCGGCCUGAGAGGGUGACCGGCCACAUUGGGACUGAGAUACGGCCCAGACUGCUACGGGAGGCAGCAGUGGGGAAUAUUGCACAAUGGGCGGAAGCCUGAUGCAGCAACGCCGCGUGCGGGAUGACGGCCUUCGGGUUGUAAACCGCUUUCGCCUGUGACGAAGCGUGAGUGACGGUAAUGGGUAAAGAAGCACCGGCUAACUACGUG